This 207-nucleotide unclassified non-coding RNA is filed under the name Glomus sp. Its description in RNAcentral is "partial contains 5.8S ribosomal RNA and internal transcribed spacer 2". The stretch from base 1 to 65 matches the Rfam family "5.8S ribosomal RNA", at positions 84 to 154 of the family's 154-position model. Lineage: Eukaryota; Fungi; Glomeromycota; Glomeromycetes; Glomerales; Glomeraceae. The record is from RNAcentral.
GUGAAUCAUCGAAUUUUUGAACGCAAAUUGCACUCUCUUCGGAGAGGAUGCCUGUUUGAGGGUCAGCCUAAAAAAAAAUCGACAUAGUCGCUGGUUCGCGGUGACAUUCGUCGGGAAUUGGGGCAUCUUAAACCUUUUUGGUUUAAGCGGCUUAAAAUUGUCUUUACUAUUGCACGAUCGUUUCUAAGUUUUACUUCCUACACGGUU